UCCGAACUUAGUGUUUGUUGGUCACUCAGCAGGUAGGAGCUUAGUGUUUGUUGGUCACUCAGCAGGUAGGGGCUAAGUGUUUGUUGAUCACUCAGCAGGUAGGGGCUAAGUGUUUGUUGGUCACUUAACAGGUCGGAGCUAAGUGUUUGUUGGUCACUCAGCAGGUAGGAGCUUAGUGUUUGUUGGUCACUCAGCAGGUAGGGGCUAAGUGUUUGUUGAUCACUCAGCAGGUAGGGGCUAAGUGUUUGUUGGUCACUCAGCA
Molecule: long non-coding RNA, 262 nt
Organism: Haliotis rubra (blacklip abalone)
Lineage: Eukaryota; Metazoa; Mollusca; Gastropoda; Lepetellida; Haliotidae
Exons: 3
Source: RefSeq, a predicted model, not a curated record